CCCAUUGUGACGUCAUAGAAACUGGAAAGGAAGAAGGUGUUGGUUUUCCUGCUCCUUUUCCCAUGGCUUCGAGAGUUACACUGUGUGAUCCAGCAGUCUGAUCCAUGAUUGAAAUCACAAUUGGGAUAAAGUUGGUAGAGAUGCUUCUUAAUUUACAGUGGGGUUAUAUCCUCAUAAACCCCUCAUAAGUUAAAAAUAUUGUAAGUGGAAAAUGCAUUUAAUACACCUAACCUACUGACAUCAUAGCUCAGCCUGGUCUACCUUAACUGUGCCCAGAAAUGCACAUUAGCCUACAAUGGGGGUAAAAUCAUGUAACAAGAAGCCUAUUUUGUAUUAAAGCAUCAAAUAUCUCAUGUAGUUUAUUGAAUACUGUAUUGAAAGUGAAAGAUUGGUCGUAUAGGCACUCAAAGUACGGUUUCUACUGAAUGUGUAUUGUUUUCACACCGUUGUAAAGUCAGAAAAUCAAAGGUCAUAGGUCAAACAGUUGUAAGUAGGGAACCAUCUGUGCUUGUUACAUGCUUAGGGAUUUUCUAUUUCUAAUUGACUCACUGUCAUUGUAGGAUUUAAAGAGGGAGGCCUCAAAUAGUGUAUCUGUGACCUGCAUCUCCUUUGGGUGGUUCUUGAUGUCCAUGAUUUCUUGGCCGAGAUCAUGUUUGGCUGCUAAGGCCUGGACUACGUUCUUUGUGGAGUUGUGAGGGGGCUGCUUGUGAUCUCCUAGGAGUGGAGAGGAUGCCUUAUUUACCCCUUGAUGUACUAAUGCCUGCAUAAAUAAAACUCAUUGCAAACAUCCUG
RNAcentral lists this small RNA (792 nucleotides) under Pan troglodytes (chimpanzee). RNAcentral's name for it is "processed transcript". The record is from RNAcentral. Lineage: Eukaryota; Metazoa; Chordata; Mammalia; Primates; Hominidae.